Molecule: ribosomal RNA, 251 nt
Filed under: uncultured bacterium
Lineage: Bacteria
Description: partial 16S ribosomal RNA
Rfam family: Bacterial small subunit ribosomal RNA
Source: RNAcentral
GAUGAACGCUGGCGGCGUGCUUAACACAUGCAAGUCGAACGGGAGCACCCCCCGACGGAGUUUUCGGACAACGAAAGGGAAAUGCUUAGUGGCGGACGGGUGAGUAACGCGUGAGUAACCUGCCUUGGAGUGGGGAAUAACAGCCGGAAACGGCGUGCUAAUACCGCAUGAAUCGUAUACUGGGACUCGCAGUGGUUCUGGAUACCAAAGAUUUAUCGCUCUGAGAUGGCCUCGCGUCUGAUUAGCUAGUU